GGAGUCACUAGAAAUUCGCUUUCCACGAAGACGGUCCCACUCCCCUCCGACACGGACGGAGACCGGGACUCCGCCUGCAACUCCGACAUCGACUGAGAUUCCGCCUGCAACUCCGACAUCGACUGAGAUUCCGCCUGCAACUCCGACAUCGACUGAGACUCCGCCUGAAACUCCGACAUCGACUGGUGGCUCCUCGGAAGCUCCGAAUUCGCGAACCUCGCCGCCUCUGUCUGGAUCUGGGCCGCGCUCAGGGACCUUCCCCCCGAAAUCUCAGGCGGGUUGUCGGGGAAAUUAAACUUGGCAGUGUGGCCGCGCAAGCAAAAGAGGGCCGCGUCGAAGGCACGCGCUGCCUUUUCGGGCGCGUCGUAGGAUCCCAACCAGAUUCGCUCCCGGCUGUUGGGGAGGCGGAUUUCCGACACCCAUUUGCCCCACUUGCGCUUGCGGACGCCCUUGUACUUGAUGUCGUUUCGCUCGGAGGGCUUCCCAAUCGUCUGCUUCACCAUGGACGACGACG
RNAcentral lists this long non-coding RNA (514 nucleotides) under Malus domestica (apple). RNAcentral's name for it is "long non-coding RNA (MDOM_LNC014781)". Lineage: Eukaryota; Viridiplantae; Streptophyta; Magnoliopsida; Rosales; Rosaceae. The record is from RNAcentral.